UAAGGGGCCAAUCCUGGGGCAAAGC
Molecule: unclassified non-coding RNA, 25 nt
Filed under: Mus musculus (house mouse)
Lineage: Eukaryota; Metazoa; Chordata; Mammalia; Rodentia; Muridae
Description: oocyte_clustered_small_RNA4175
Source: RNAcentral